UUUGAGUUUGAUCCUGGCUCAGAUUGAACGCUGGCGGCAUGCCUUACACAUGCAAGUCGAACGGCAGCACGGGGGCAACCCUGGUGGCGAGUGGCGAACGGGUGAGUAAUACAUCGGAACGUGUCCUGUAGUGGGGGAUAGCCCGGCGAAAGCCGGAUUAAUACCGCAUACGCUCUACGGAGGAAAGGGGGGGAUCUUAGGACCUCUCGCUACAGGGGCGGCCGAUGGCAGAUUAGCUAGUUGGUGGGGUAAAGGCCUACCAAGGCGACGAUCUGUAGCUGGUCUGAGAGGACGACCAGCCACACUGGGACUGAGACACGGCCCAGACUCCUACGGGAGGCAGCAGUGGGGAAUUUUGGACAAUGGGCGCAAGCCUGAUCCAGCAAUGCCGCGUGUGUGAAGAAGGCCUUCGGGUUGUAAAGCACUUUUGUCCGGAAAGAAAACGUCGUGGUU
This 453-nucleotide ribosomal RNA is filed under the name Burkholderia sp. 4s. RNAcentral describes it as "bacterial SSU rRNA". It matches the Rfam family "Bacterial small subunit ribosomal RNA", at positions 1 to 461 of the family's 1533-position model. Lineage: Bacteria; Pseudomonadati; Pseudomonadota; Betaproteobacteria; Burkholderiales; Burkholderiaceae. The record is from RNAcentral.